AUUAUAUUGUAGUGAUACAAAUCAGUAUACUCUGGUUUGUUGUUAUAUAUUAUAUUACAGUUACAUGUUUAUAUAAUUGUAUCCAUUUAUAUAUCAUUAUUUUCUACUUUAUUAAUAGGGCAGUGCAAGUGCAUGGUUGACACUCUUCUAUAAUAAUUCGAUUUUUCUAAUAGAUUGGAUUUGAGUAGGCAUUCAUAUUUUCCAGCCAAACUUUCGAUAUCCCAUUUAGAGUUAUCGGUCCUUGAGAAAGAGCAAAAUCCGAUAACUCUGUAUGGGAGAUUGCAGCUAACAAGCGCGCAAUAAGUCGUAAUGCAUUUUCCAUAGGGUACCACUCAGGUGUUCCGUAUUUUUUUCCUUAAAGACUACACAAACUAGGGAAAACAGGCAGCAUGCAGUUCCUGUUACUAGAAAUGACGGUGUUUCAUAACAACCAAAAUAUAUAUAUAUAGGGUCA
This 454-nucleotide long non-coding RNA is filed under the name Mytilus galloprovincialis (Mediterranean mussel). Lineage: Eukaryota; Metazoa; Mollusca; Bivalvia; Mytilida; Mytilidae. The record is from RNAcentral.